UAAGUUAUUUAAACUAGUAGCCUUCAAAGCUGCCUACGCCCAAUCCUCCCCCAGGGUUC
This 59-nucleotide transfer RNA is filed under the name Praticolella mexicana. Its description in RNAcentral is "tRNA-Trp". The record is from RNAcentral. Lineage: Eukaryota; Metazoa; Mollusca; Gastropoda; Stylommatophora; Polygyridae.